UAAGGAAUAUUGGACAAUGCCCGCAAGGGUGAUCCAGCCAUGCCGCGUGCAGGAAGACGGCCCUAUGGGUUGUAAACUGCUUUUGUACCGGAGAAAACCCCCCUACGUGUAGGGGGCUGAUAGUAUGGUAAGAAUAAGCAUCGGCUAACUUCGUGCCAGCAGCCGCGGUAAGACGAAGGAUGCAAGCGUUAUCCGGAUUCAUUGGGUUUAAAGGGAGCGUAGGUGGUCUACUAAGUCAGUGGUGAAAUCUCUCGGCUUAACUGAGAAAUUGCCAUUGAUACUGGAAGACUUGAGUAUAGUUGCCGUUGGCGGAAUAUGACAUGUAGUGGUGAAAUACAUAGAGAUGUCAUAGAACACCGAUUGCGAAGGCAGCUAACGAAACUAUAACUGACACUGAGGCUCGAAAGUGCGGGGAUCAAACAGG
This 424-nucleotide ribosomal RNA is filed under the name uncultured bacterium. RNAcentral describes it as "bacterial SSU rRNA". It matches the Rfam family "Bacterial small subunit ribosomal RNA", at positions 355 to 776 of the family's 1533-position model. The record is from RNAcentral.